Long non-coding RNA from Esox lucius (northern pike), 461 nucleotides. RefSeq lists it as uncharacterized. The transcript is spliced from 3 exons. Lineage: Eukaryota; Metazoa; Chordata; Actinopteri; Esociformes; Esocidae. The record is from RefSeq and is a predicted model, not a curated record.
CUAGGAAAAAUCUAAUAAGAAGCCAAAACACAGUUAACAGAUAUAGGCUUUUUGUGUUUGUCUUAAUACCCUUAUUAUGAAAAUGGCUGGGAAGUUUGGGCUCUUUCUGAGAGUGUUUUUGAUUAGUUGCUUGCUAAUUGGAGGAAUAGCCUGUUCCCCUGCACCAACAGACAGUGGCAACAACUAUAUUCUUCAAGCGUCACCUAAAGCCACCAGCAUCUCAAGUGUGAUGACUGGUCCAAAUAACCCUGGUGUUACACCAGCUACUCCGCCUCAGCAGAAUAGCUCAGCUACAACCAGCUUUAAUUCCCCAUUAUUAUCAAAUGGCUCCCAUGACUCAACAGAAGUAGCAAGCAACCAUACUUCAGGAAUGGUGAUGCAGCAGCGGGAGCCAGUGGCGUCUGUCCCCCGGGCCUCUGCCGGGGCGGCGGCGGCGGGUCCCCGGGCCUCUGCCGGGGCGG